This 384-nucleotide ribosomal RNA is filed under the name Ctenus villasboasi. Its description in RNAcentral is "partial large subunit ribosomal RNA". Lineage: Eukaryota; Metazoa; Arthropoda; Arachnida; Araneae; Ctenidae. The record is from RNAcentral.
AACUUGUCUUCUAAUUAAAGACCAUACAAAAGAUUUAACAUUUCAUAAAAUAUAAAUAUCUAUAUAUUUAAAUUAUUUUAAUUUUUAAAAAAAACUUAUAAAAUAAAAAGACGACAAGACCCUAUUGAACUUAACUCUAGUUAAACUGGGGUAGUUCAAUAAAUAUAUUUUUAUAUUAUUAUAAUAAUUAUAUUCCAGACCUAAUAAAAUUAAUUAAAAGAUCAAGUUACCAUAGGGAUAACAGCGCAAUAAUUUUUUAAAGCUCUCAUUAAAAAAAAAGAUUACGACCUCGAUGUUGAAUUAAUAUACUAAUUUGUGCAAUAACAAAAAAAGACAAGUCUGUUCGACUUAUAAAUAAUUACAUGAUCUGAGUUCAAACCGGAG